RNAcentral lists this ribosomal RNA (253 nucleotides) under uncultured bacterium. Its description in RNAcentral is "partial 16S ribosomal RNA". It matches the Rfam family "Bacterial small subunit ribosomal RNA", at positions 524 to 776 of the family's 1533-position model. The record is from RNAcentral.
UACAGAGGUCUCAAGCGUUGUUCGGAUUCAUUGGGCGUAAAGGGUGCGUAGGUGGCGCUGUAAGUCGGGUGUGAAAUCCUGAGGCUUAACCUCGGAACUGCAUUCGAUACUGCGGCGCUUGAGGACUGGAGAGGAGACUGGAAUUCAUGGUGUAGCAGUGAAAUGCGCAGAUAUCAGGAGGAACACCGGUGGCGAAGGCGGGUCUCUGGGCCGAUACUGACGCUGAGGAGCGAAAGCGUGGGGAGCGAACAGG